AGAAUUGGCCUCUGAAAUUGGGAGAAACCUCACACCAAAAAAACACCUACUUACACAUCCUUCCAAGUCAGCUCUCAAUAGUAUUAGUGGUUUAUGUGGAUGGACGAUAACAUGAAUCCAUAUGCAUCAAAAGCAUAGCCUCUACAACAUAACAUUGCGCAUCAUGAUGCAAACCACAAUUGUGAGCUCAGUAAUUCAGCAACGAAUAU
Molecule: unclassified non-coding RNA, 209 nt
Filed under: Hevea brasiliensis (rubber tree)
Lineage: Eukaryota; Viridiplantae; Streptophyta; Magnoliopsida; Malpighiales; Euphorbiaceae
Source: RNAcentral